GCGGGCGUGGCGGAAUUGGUAGACGCAAGGGACUUAAAAUCCCUCGGCCGCAAGGUCAUGCCGGUUCGAUCCCGGCCGCCCGCACCA
Molecule: transfer RNA, 87 nt
Filed under: Hyphobacterium vulgare
Lineage: Bacteria; Pseudomonadati; Pseudomonadota; Alphaproteobacteria; Maricaulales; Maricaulaceae
Also listed under: 2 other names
Description: tRNA-Leu
Rfam family: tRNA
About the family: Transfer RNA (tRNA) molecules are approximately 80 nucleotides in length.
Source: RNAcentral